Molecule: long non-coding RNA, 406 nt
Organism: Danaus plexippus (monarch butterfly)
Lineage: Eukaryota; Metazoa; Arthropoda; Insecta; Lepidoptera; Nymphalidae
Exons: 3
Source: RefSeq, a predicted model, not a curated record
ACAAAACUAACAUUCUAGCGCCUAGUCUACAUCCGGCGACUAGGGAUGCUGGGUCCGCAAUCAACUUUUAAAUUAGAAAUCCGAGCGAUGUAUUGUGUUCGUCAAUAGUGAAUUACUCUGGUGGGGGAGUUAAUUACAUUUUUUUUAUUAUGUGGAGCAGAAGUUAUGUAGUGGCAGCACUGGCGCCGAGGAAGGUGAGCCGCGAGGAGAUCUCCGCCGCGCCGUUUAGGAGUUGGGAGCACACCUGCCGCAGCGCGUGCCGUUACAGAAGAACAUAAUUCACAACGACGCGUUCACAGACGGACAGAGAGACAUUUUGAUAUAAUAAAUAAUUUAUGUAUAUUAUUUGUGACUUAAAGUUUUGCUUAUAUUCCAUAAAGCUAAUUAGAAGGAUGGCAUAAUAGGA